AUAAGCGGAGGAAAAGAAACCAACAGGGAUUGCCUCAGUAACGGCGAGUGAAGCGGCAACAGCUCAAAUUUGAAAUCUGGCUCUUUCAGGGUCCGAGUUGUAAUUUGUAGAAGAUGCUUCGGGUGUGGCUCCGGUCUAAGUUCCUUGGAACAGGACGUCAUAGAGGGUGAGAAUCCCGUAUGUGACUGGGUGCCUUCGCUCAUGUGAAGCUCUUUCGACGAGUCGAGUUGUUUGGGAAUGCAGCUCAAAAUGGGUGGUAAAUUUCAUCUAAAGCUAAAUAUUGGCCAGAGACCGAUAGCGCACAAGUAGAGUGAUCGAAAGAUGAAAAGCACUUUGGAAAGAGAGUUAAACAGUACGUGAAAUUGUUGAAAGGGAAGCGCUUGCAACCAGACUUGCACGCGGUUGAUCAUCCGGUGUUCUCACCGGUGCACUCUGCCGCGUUCAGGCCAGCAUCGGUUUCGGUGGUUGGAUAAAGGCCUAGGGAAUGUAGCUUCUUUCGGGGAGUGUUAUAGCCCUAGGUGCAAUGCAGCCUAUCGGGACCGAGGACCGCGCUUCGGCUAGGAUGCUGGCGUAAUGGUUGUAAGCGACCCGUCUUGAAACACGGACCAAGGAGUCUAACAUCUAUGCGAGUGUUUGGGUGUCAAACCCAUACGCGUAAUGAAAGUGAACGGAGGUGAGAACCCUUAAGGGUGCAUCAUCGACCGAUCCUGAUGUCUUCGGAUGGAUUUGAGUAAGAGCAUAGCUGUUGGGACCCGAAAGAUGGUGAACUAUGCGUGAAUAGGGUGAAGCCAGAGGAAACUCUGGUGGAGGCUCGCAGCGGUUCUGACGUGCAAAUCGAUCGUCAAAUUUGCGCAUAGGGGCGAAAGACUAAUCGAACCAUCUAGUAGCUGG
RNAcentral lists this ribosomal RNA (891 nucleotides) under Polyphilus frankenii. Its description in RNAcentral is "eukaryotic LSU rRNA". It matches the Rfam family "Eukaryotic large subunit ribosomal RNA", at positions 46 to 954 of the family's 3401-position model. Lineage: Eukaryota; Fungi; Ascomycota; Leotiomycetes; Helotiales. The record is from RNAcentral.